This is a non-coding RNA of Vicia faba (fava bean), 309 nucleotides long. Lineage: Eukaryota; Viridiplantae; Streptophyta; Magnoliopsida; Fabales; Fabaceae. The record is from the annotation of a GenBank genome assembly.
AUGGUUGGAGGAAAUAAGCCUUUUAAAUACUUUAGGAUGUCCCAAAUAUCUAAGAUGGACUGGAUUAGAGAUGGUGACCAUAAAACAAUUAUCUUUCAUUAUAGCAUCAGGUAUAGGAAUAACAUCAGUAGAAUUAGCGCCAUUAACAAUAGUGGAGGAGAUUGGUUAACUGAUCCUGGAGAAGUCAUUAAGGAGUUCACCAUGUACUAUGAAGAUCUACUUGGUACCCCUAUAGAAAACAAAUUGAAAGCCUGUAAGUCCAUUAUUAAUCAGGGGGAAUUUUUUCCAGAGAGCAGCAGGAUUGGUUGA